RNAcentral lists this long non-coding RNA (489 nucleotides) under Lathyrus oleraceus (garden pea). RNAcentral describes it as "Pisum sativum (pea) long non-coding RNA (PSAT_LNC037480)". Lineage: Eukaryota; Viridiplantae; Streptophyta; Magnoliopsida; Fabales; Fabaceae. The record is from RNAcentral.
AGACGUCAAAGGUUCACGGUGAAAGCCGUAGGAACAAGUCUUCCGCUUCAACCCUGGGACUGUUGCCAUCUCUAUCAGUGAACAAGCUCUGGAAUGUACCUGAGAAAUGAUAUGCAUGCAGGGAUUAGUUUUUUUUCUUUUUUCUUUUUCCCCUUUUCUUUUUUUUUGUAUCUUUUUUUAUUGCGUAUUUUUUUGAAAAUAAACAUGCUAUGAUGCAAAUGAUGCAGACACGACUGGUUGGCUGUGUCUCUCGGAACACAGGGUCAAAGCUUCGGCUUGAACUCGGAACCACAAAUUCAUCUGAAACCCAAAGUCAUAUGAGACCCCAAACUUCUGAACCAAUAGUCACCAACAGGAUCACAAGUCACCAACAAGUCACCAACGAGUCACCAACUGUACCUGUAAUAAUGAUCAUUCCCUCCCCACUCACGGGUGUCAUCUAGGCCAGGGUAAGGUCGAGAGAAACGCAGCAUAAAUAACCUUUCGCAG